GAUGAACGCUGGCGGCGUGCCUAAUACAUGCAAGUCGAGCGAACGGACGAGAAGCUUGCUUCUCUGAUGUUAGCGGCGGACGGGUGAGUAACACGUGGAUAACCUACCUAUAAGACUGGGAUAACUUCGGGAAACCGGAGCUAAUACCGGAUAAUAUUUUGAACCGCAUGGUUCAAAAGUGAAUGACGCUCUUGCUGUCACUUAUAGAUGGUUCCGCGCUGCAUUAGCUAGUUGGUAAGGUAACGGCUUACCAAGGCAACGAUGCAUAGCCGACCUGAGAGGGUGAUCGGCCACACUGGAACUGAGACACGGUCCAGACUCCUACGGGAGGCAGCAGUAGGGAAUCUUCCGCAAUGGGCGAAAGCCUGACGGAGCAACGCCGCGUGAGUGAUGAAGGUCUUCGGAUCGUAAAACUCUGUUAUUAGGGAAGAACAUAUGUGUAAGUAACUGUGCACAUCUUGACGGUACCUAAUCAGAAAGCCACGGCUAACUACGUG
RNAcentral lists this ribosomal RNA (497 nucleotides) under uncultured bacterium. RNAcentral describes it as "partial 16S ribosomal RNA". It matches the Rfam family "Bacterial small subunit ribosomal RNA", at positions 28 to 507 of the family's 1533-position model. The record is from RNAcentral.